RNAcentral lists this ribosomal RNA (645 nucleotides) under uncultured bacterium. RNAcentral describes it as "bacterial SSU rRNA". It matches the Rfam family "Bacterial small subunit ribosomal RNA", at positions 95 to 725 of the family's 1533-position model. The record is from RNAcentral.
GCGGCGGACGGGUGAGUAACACGUGGGCAACCUACCUUGUAGAUUGGGAUAACUCCGGGAAACCGGGGCUAAUACCGAAUAAUCCAUUUUGCUUCAUGGCAAGAUGUUGAAAGGCGGCUUCGGCUGUCACUACGAGAUGGGCCCGCGGCGUAUUAGCUUGUUGGUGGGGUAGUGGCCUACCAAGGCGACGACGGGUAGCCGGCCUGAGAGGGUGACCGGCCACACUGGGACUGAGACACGGCCCAGACUCCUACGGGAGGCAGCAGUGGGGAAUAUUGGACAAUGGGGGGAACCCUGAUCCAGCCAUGCCGCGUGUGUGAAGAAGGCCUUAUGGUUGUAAAGCACUUUAAGCGAGGAGGAGGCUCUUUUGGUUAAUACCCAAGAUGAGUGGACGUUACUCGCAGAAUAAGCACCGGCUAACUCUGUGCCAGCAGCCGCGGUAAUACAGAGGGUGCGAGCGUUGUCCGGAAUUAUUGGGCGUAAAGAGCUCGUAGGCGGUUUGUCGCGUCGGCUGUGAAAUCUGGAGGCUUAACCUUCAGCGUGCAGUCGAUACGGGCAGACUUGAGUUCGGCAGGGGAGACUGGAAUUCCUGGUGUAGCGGUGAAAUGCGCAGAUAUCAGGAGGAACACCGGUGGCGAAGGCGGG